Molecule: ribosomal RNA, 445 nt
Filed under: uncultured bacterium
Lineage: Bacteria
Description: partial 16S ribosomal RNA
Rfam family: Bacterial small subunit ribosomal RNA
Source: RNAcentral
GUAAGGAAUAUUGGACAAUGGACGCAAGUCUGAUCCAGCCAUGCCGCGUGAAGGAUUAAGGUCCUCUGGAUUGUAAACUUCUUUUAUAAGGGACGAAAAAAGGCUUUUCUAAGUCGUCUGACGGUACCUUAUGAAUAAGCACCGGCUAACUCCGUGCCAGCAGCCGCGGUAAUACGGAGGGUGCAAGCGUUAUCCGGAUUCACUGGGUUUAAAGGGUGCGUAGGCGGGCAGGUAAGUCAGUGGUGAAAUCCUAUAUCUUAACUCUAGAACUGCCAUUGAUACUAUCUGUCUUGAAUAUUGUGGAGGUAAGCGGAAUAUGUCAUGUAGCGGUGAAAUGCUUAGAUAUGACAUAGAACACCUAUUGCGAAGGCAGCUUACUACGCAUAUAUUGACGCUGAGGCACGAAAGCGUGGGGAUCAAACAGGAUUAGAAACCCGGGUAGUCC